Molecule: long non-coding RNA, 3409 nt
Organism: Drosophila miranda
Lineage: Eukaryota; Metazoa; Arthropoda; Insecta; Diptera; Drosophilidae
Exons: 2
Source: RefSeq, a predicted model, not a curated record
GAUAUGACAUAAAAUGAAAUAAACAGAAAAAAUAAAAACGAGCUAGAAUGUUGUGAGUCUUGUCAAAGGACCUUGACUGUAUUCAUAUAACCAAUACUCAGUCAAUCACAAUGGUGAUUGAGUUAGCCACGUGGCUCACAUUGGCGGCUCAGGAGGUCAUUGAGCGACGGGAAAUAGUUUGCUUAUUCUGCUUAUUCUUAUAGAGAUCCCAAUUCCACAAUAUGGUAGAAGUGGCGAUUCUCUAUGAUUAUGAAUUUUCUGUUCUCUCGCGUGUACGAUGACUGCUCUAUACAGCCGACACGACAAACCCGCUUCGUGUCUUUCUCUGUUCUUACUUUCAUACAAUUCCUACUAUUCCUGAGGUACUAGCAAAGGUUUCAUAUAUUCUAAGCUGCAAAAGUUUAACUUUUGAAUUAAUAACUUCGGAACGACUAAAGAUAUUUUUAUAAAAUAAAAGACUUCCAAACUGUAGUCUGCACGGGAACGAGGUACUACGAUGUCUAGAAGCUUACCGUACAUUUUCCGAUUCACACAUAUUUGCUUCCAAAAAAUGUUCAAAUUUAAUUUUUCAUAUCCAAAAAGUAUUUGUAUACCCUCCACUUGAAGAGUAUUUAGAUUUGUAGUGGCAGUGGAUACAGUAUUUACAUAUAUUCUUGAUCAGUGUUAAUAGCCGAGUUCUGUCCGUCCGUCCGUCCCGAUGAGCGCCUAGAUCUCAGAAACAAGAAGAGCUGGAGCAAUUCCAUUUAAUUCAAUGCAAUCAAUUCCGACUCCUAUGAUACAUAUUACACUGAAUCAAGUUUGAUUCAAAAUUUUGCCACGCACCACAGUGGGUGAUUUGCCUGAUCUAACGUAACUAAAUUAAUAACUCAAAAAAAAAGAAGGAGAAUUAUGAAUUAUUAUACAACUAUAAUUAUAUUAUGAAUCCUUCAAGAAACAUCAUUCUUCUAAUUUUGUACAAAAGAUUUUUGAGAAUUUCGAAUUCGAAUCGUAUUCAUCUGAUUCUUACGGCUUCCUUGUCAAAUAAAAAUGCUUUGGUGCAGUUAUUUAUUGACCUUUUGCAUAAGCUUGUUAUUACUGGAUCUGAAGAAACUAAGAACGAGUUCAUUACAUCCUCCACUUUAUUUAAUCGCAAAUUUGUUCGAGUAUGCUUAAGCCGAAAAUUGCGUAAACUUUUGUUGCUUGCUUCCAAGGCUUCUUCCGACAUCAUGCCCAUCGGAAGUGGUACUUGCUAUUAUAACGGCUCCAUAAAUUGAUAUUUUGUGUACAAAUCUGUGCGGUUUCCAAUGCGUAUUCGCGAGUCUCUUUAUUAGAUCAUGGCUUACUUCGGUAAAUUGAGCAGACAAUUGUGAAUUUUCAAAAAACCUUCCACCCGUAACAAUCUUCUAACAACACUAUUGGUGUUGCCAGAGCCUUGCAUGGGAAUGUUUAUUAUUGAUGACAUUUCGACUGUGAACCUGUCUCUGAUAGCUGCCUUUCGUUGACAAACUAUGCCUUUGUCUGAGGCACGGAUCAACCACUUUUAAAUUGGUAGUUGAUAGCUAUACCUCGGAUUUGGCAUAUUUGCAUAUUUUCAUCAGAUUGUUACCAAAAUUUUUAUUUAGACGUUUGAUCAUUCAAAUAUAACGAAUUUGAAUGCAUAUCGAAAAUAUGCAAAACAUAUGCAAAAUAUAUGCAAACAAAAUAUGCCAAAUAUAUGCAGCAUAUGCAAAAUAUAUGCACACGAAUUUCAUCGAAAUAUUGAAGCAAUACUACUUUCUCUUACUGUACUGUUACUGUUCUUAUCAGUUUGAUCUCUGGCGUUAUUUUAGGCUAUUGAUUUGCGCGUUUGCUUUACUUUUCUACAGUCUUUGAAGUGAAGUGUAGUGAAAUGCCGAAAAUCAACAGGUAUAAAAGAAAUUUGUUAGGAAAGUGGUUUAACAGCCUUUCCGAAAAGUGUUUAAAAAUUGUUCGAAAUGAUAUAAUUUGUGCUACUUGUGACAAAAAGGUGAAUUUUCAAUAUUCAGUCUUUUGCGUACGUUCUAACACUUUUAAUGUUUUAGAUUCCUUGCGAAAAAAAUUUCAAUUGCAGCAGCAUAUUGCUACUGUACUUCACUGAAGGUCCAAAGCAUCCAACGAAAAUGCGCCUACUUCCAGCAACACGUCAAGCAGCCUUUCAGAUAAUUCAAACGAAGAAUUUAAAAUGGAUCUUUGUACAGCGUUGAUUGCGGCAAAUAUACCAUGGAAUGUGCUUAGUAAUGGUAACUUUAAUAAUUUUCUGAAAAAAUACACCGGGCAACAAAUUCCUGAUGAGAGUACUCUCAGAAAGAGUUACUUGGAUAAAUCCUACCAACAAUCUAUCCAAAAAAUUCGCGAAAGUAUAAAAGACGAAAACGUUUGGAUAUCAGUGGACGAAACUACGGAUAAGCAAGGGCGAUAUGUCGCAAAUUUGAUUAUAGGAACAUUAAGCGAAAAGGAAUCUUCAUCCUCAUUUUUAUUGUCCUGUAAACAGUUGGAAAAAGUAAAUAAUGCAACUGUUUCUGGAUUAAUGAACGACAGCAUUCGUAUAUUGUGGCCUCACGGGAAUGAGUUAAAAGUUUUCUUACUCUUAACUGAUGCUGCGGCAUAUAUGACAAAAGCUGGUAAAACUUUAAAAGUUUUGUAUCCGAAUCUCAUACAUGUUGUUUAUACGUUUAUAUCUUGUGUGAAAAAAUUUGCAUAAUAGCUCCACUCAGAGUACAACGCUACAAACAAAUACUCAAUAAGGAGUUACCAUCAGAACCGAUCAUAACCAGAUGGGGUACAUGGUUGAAGGCGGCAUCAUUUUAUGUAGAUAAAAAUAAAAGAGGUCCUUGAAACACUGAACCCAGAACAUGCUGAUUCCAUUAAGCUGGCGAAGGAGCUGGUAGAAAACCCACAACUACAUCAAGAAUUCAUAUAUAUAAAAUCCCACUUCGAGAGAGUUGCCGAAAUAAUAAGAGCAUUGGAUACGAAGGCGCUACCAUUAGAAAAUUCAAUGGACUUAUUCAAGGAAGCUGAAAAUAUUGUCUAUAACAUAACUGGUGAUUUUUGAAUGGAUUUAAAAAAGAAAUUUGAAGCAAUUUUGAAAAGAAAUCCUGAUUUUAAAAUCAUUUCAAAAAUAAAUAGUAUAUUAACUCUAAAUGCUGAAGAUCUGUCUGGAAUCGAACCAGUCGCAAAUCAAAAUAUAAUAAAAUAUAAAUUUGCUCCAAUUACUUCCUGUGACGUUGAAAGAAGCUUUUCCGCGUACAAAAUGAUUUUUGGAGAGAAACGUCAGAGCCUCUUAAUAAAUAAUUUAGAGAAAAUGUUAGUUGUUUACUGCAAUACAAAUUAUUUCUAAUAAACUUUAAGCCUUUAUUAUAUCGUAUGUUUUAAGUAUCUAGUUUAAUAGCAGAAAAUAAAAUUUCAAAACCUA